Molecule: transfer RNA, 74 nt
Filed under: Candidatus Magasanikiibacteriota bacterium
Lineage: Bacteria; Candidatus Magasanikiibacteriota
Description: tRNA-Val
Rfam family: tRNA
About the family: Transfer RNA (tRNA) molecules are approximately 80 nucleotides in length. Their secondary structure includes four short double-helical elements and three loops (D, anti-codon, and T loops).
Source: RNAcentral
GGGUCUGUAGCUCAGUUGGUUAGAGCGCUACGUUGACAUCGUAGAGGUCAGCCGUUCAAAUCGGCUCAGACCCA